Molecule: ribosomal RNA, 545 nt
Filed under: uncultured bacterium
Lineage: Bacteria
Description: partial 16S ribosomal RNA
Rfam family: Bacterial small subunit ribosomal RNA
Source: RNAcentral
UGGGGAAUUUUGGACAAUGGGCGAAAGCCUGAUCCAGCAAUGCCGCGUGUGUGAAGAAGGCCUUCGGGUUGUAAAGCACUUUUGUCCGGAAAGAAAUCCUUGGCUCUAAUACAGUCGGGGGAUGACGGUACCGGAAGAAUAAGCACCGGCUAACUACGUGCCAGCAGCCGCGGUAAUACGUAGGGUGCAAGCGUUAAUCGGAAUUACUGGGCGUAAAGCGUGCGCAGGCGGUUUGCUAAGACCGAUGUGAAAUCCCCGGGCUCAACCUGGGAACUGCAUUGGGUGACUGGCAGGCUAGAGUAUGGCAGAGGGGGGUAGAAUUCCACGUGUAGCAGUGAAAUGCGUAGAGAUGUGGAGGAAUACCGAUGGCGAAGGCAGCCCCCUGGGCCAAUACUGACGCUCAUGCACGAAAGCGUGGGGAGCAAACAGGAUUAGAUACCCUGGUAGUCCACGCCCUAAACGAUGUCAACUAGUUGUUGGGGGACUUCAUUUUCCUUAGUAACGUAGCUAACGCGUGAAGUUGACCGCCUGGGGAGUACGGUCGC